ACGGGUGAGUAACACGUGGGUAACCUGCCCAGAAGUAGGGGAUAACACCUGGAAACAGAUGCUAAUACCGUAUAACAGAGAAAACCGCCUGGUUUUCUUUUAAAAGAUGGCUCUGCUAUCACUUCUGGAUGGACCCGCGGCGCAUUAGCUGGUUGGUGAGGUAACGGCUCACCAAGGCGAUGAUGCGUAGCCGACCUGAGAGGGUAAUCGGCCACAUUGGGACUGAGACACGGCCCAGACUCCUACGGGAGGCAGCAGUAGGGAAUCUUCCACAAUGGACGCAAGUCUGAUGGAGCAACGCCGCGUGAGUGAAGAAGGGUUUCGGCUCGUAAAGCUCUGUUGUUAAAGAAGAACGUGGGUGAGAGUAACUGUUCACCCAGUGACGGUAUUUAACCAGAAAGCCACGGCUAACUACGUGCCAGCAGCCGCGGUAAUACGUAGGUGGCAAGCGUUAUCCGGAUUUAUUGGGCGUAAAGCGAGCGCAGGCGGUCUUUUAAGUCUAAUGUGAAAGCCUUCGGCUCAACCGAAGAAGUGCAUUGGAAACUGGGAGACUUGAGUGCAGAAGAGGACAGUGGAACUCCAUGUGUAGCGGUGAAAUGCGUAGAUAUAUGGAAGAACACCAGUGGCGAAGGCGGCUGUCUGGUCUGUAACUGACGCUGAGGCUCGAAAGCAUGGGUAGCGAACAGGAUUAGAUACCCUGGUAGUCCAUGCCGUAAACGAUGAUUACUAAGUGUUGGAGGGUUUCCGCCCUUCAGUGCUGCAGCUAACGCAUUAAGUAAUCCGCCUGGGGAGUACGACCGCAAGGUUGAAACUCAAAAGAAUUGACGGGGGCCCGCACAAGCGGUGGAGCAUGUGGUUUAAUUUCGAAGCUACGCGAAGAACCUUACCAGGUCUUGACAUCUUCUGCCAACCUAGGAGAUUAGGCGUUCCCUUCGGGGACAGAAUGACAGGUGGUGCAUGGUUGUCGUCAGCUCGUGUCCUGAGAUGUUGGGUUAGUCCCGCAACGAGCGCAACCCUUAUUACUAGUUGCCACCAUUCAGUUGGGCACUCUAUGAGACGGCGGUGACAACCCGAGGAAGGUGGGGAC
This 1087-nucleotide ribosomal RNA is filed under the name Pediococcus acidilactici. Its description in RNAcentral is "bacterial SSU rRNA". It matches the Rfam family "Bacterial small subunit ribosomal RNA", at positions 102 to 1180 of the family's 1533-position model. Lineage: Bacteria; Bacillati; Bacillota; Bacilli; Lactobacillales; Lactobacillaceae. The record is from RNAcentral.